RNAcentral lists this non-coding RNA (120 nucleotides) under Mycobacterium sp. RNAcentral's name for it is "SAM-IV sequence". It matches the Rfam family "SAM (S-adenosyl methionine) riboswitch aptamer". From Rfam's summary of the family: SAM-IV is a mRNA element that regulates gene expression via direct sensing of S-adenosylmethionine (SAM or AdoMet). SAM-IV riboswitches share conserved nucleotide positions with the previously described SAM-I riboswitches sequence analysis and molecular recognition experiments suggest that SAM-I and SAM-IV riboswitches share similar ligand binding sites, but have different scaffolds. RNAcentral also lists the same sequence under 1 other name. Lineage: Bacteria; Bacillati; Actinomycetota; Actinomycetes; Mycobacteriales; Mycobacteriaceae. The record is from RNAcentral.
GGUCAUGAGUGCCAGCAUCUAGCCCCGGCUUGCUGGCCGGCAACCCUCCAACCGCGGUGGGGUGCUCCGGGUGAAGACCAGGUUGAGCGGUCGAAUGGCGACUGCCGGCAAGCGCGGGUC